This 432-nucleotide ribosomal RNA is filed under the name uncultured prokaryote. RNAcentral's name for it is "partial 16S ribosomal RNA". The record is from RNAcentral.
CCCUAUGGGGUGCAGCGUUCGAGGUAUCGUCGUGUGAGAACAACAAGCGGGUGCGGCGGUUGGAAAAGCCCCUGUUGGAUUCUCAGGCGGAAAAAAAGGCCGCGAUCUGAUCCGUCUCAGAUGGCGGCCCGACCAUCGGCAUAUCCUCCGGGAUCGUGAUCCCGGACCCGUUAUCGGCUAUUCGAUUGCGCUCAGUGUAAAGGAUUGGGUGGGGCGUGUCAACCCUUUCGGGCAUGUCCCAUCACGAGCCCCGCCCGUAGCGCUCAGUCCGUCCCCUUCAGGGUGUCGAGCAGAAAGGCGCGCAGCCGCCCGUAGUCGGCGGGCAGUUCGACGGCCUCGCCCGUCCGGUUUUCGAGCUCCGUCAUGCUCUGCGGCACCUCGGGGGUGAUCCCGAGCAGCUCGAUGAUCUCGUCGGGGAAUUGGCGGGAGAGC